Cryptotermes secundus is the source of this 5033-nucleotide RNA transcript. It is a transcript of the gene named serine-rich adhesin for platelets, with no coding region annotated. NCBI's taxonomy places the organism in Eukaryota, Metazoa, Arthropoda, Insecta, Blattodea, Kalotermitidae. The record is from RefSeq and is a predicted model, not a curated record. The transcript has 12 exons.
AAUUUCCUUUUCCGCCACUUUUCGUUCAGUGUGGUUUUUCAGGUUUUAGGUGGCCAGUGAGUCAGAAGGUGUGAGAGUGUUCGUCAAACAUUUACGGAAAUGGUUAUUUUACAGUACAUUUACGGUCGCUGAUUUUUGUAGCGUCUUUAUGCAUGCACAUCUAGAAUUCGGAAGAUGGAAUCUAUAAGGAAAUGGUUCUACAAGCCUAAGAGAGAUGAUCCAUCUUUGCUGGCCCAGUUCUUCUAUGCUGAUGAGGCAUUGAACCUUGUCGCAGCUGAACUGGAUAGCUUUGAUGGACGCAAGGACCCAGAGAGAUGUACAGCCCUUGUUAAUCAUCUCAGACAGUGUCAGGAUAAGGUUUUAACAAUCUGCAAUCGCAUUAUGGACGUUGUUAUUCCUGCAGAGAGAGCAAACAGAGACUUCCGUGUCAAGUUUCCAGAUGACGUAAUGCAGGAAAACUUGGCUGGGCAACUGUGGUUCGGUGCUGAAUGUUUGGCUGCCGGUUCUAGCAUCAUGAACCGUGAGGGUGAAAGUUCAGCAAUGCGACCACUGGCAAAGGCAUUAACGAAGGCUCUGGAGAAUGUCCGCAACCUACUUCGCGAGCAGUGUCUCCGUGGAAACACCAGCAACAUUAAUGGCAUGAAUGAAGCGUUUGGAGAAAGACUGCAGGAGGCACUGAAGAUUUUUGAUCGCCUCUUUGCAGAAUUUGAACUGUGCUAUGUGAGUGCAAUGGUGCCUGUGAAGUCAACCAAGGAAUAUGAAUUGCAGCAAUUAGUUGUUGUCUUGUUCUCAGAGACACUCCAGAGGGCUUUAAAAAUGAAGCUUCUGACACAAGAGAUGGUAGAUGACUAUGAUCCAGCUCUUAUGUUUACAAUUCCACGUCUUGCCAUCGUUAGUGGGCUUCUCAUUUUCCCUGAUGGUCCACUGUGCCUAGACAGAACCCCCGCUGAUAUGUCUGAAAUGUUCCGCCCCUUCAGGACAUUACUGCAUAAGAUACGUGAAUUAUUGUGGACCUUGAAUAGCAAGGAACUGUUUACUCUGGAAAAACUUAUGUGCUCGUCAGAAGAACCUGGUGACUUUCGCUCCUCUGGCCAAUCAGUUGAAAUCCAUGAAGCUGCCGAAUUGAUUGGAACAACUCCUGGAGCUCCAUCCUAUCCCACGGUGUUUGAUCUAGAUGACUUUGUUACACGCUUUUACAUUGAUUAUCCAAGCUGUAAGCAGUUUGUUACAGACUUUUAUGCUAGUACAUCUUCAAGAAACACAGAAACUCAGGAUUUGUUUAACAGUGCAGUGAAUGAAAAUAUUUCAGACAUACCCAGAACUGAGGAUGAAAUGAAUGUGGUUGACAGUGAAGUAGUUCCAUCAUGGGAGAGCACUGAAGAAAGUGAAGAUGAAACAGAGUAUAUAGGUGAAACUUCAGAAUGUGAAACUGUUGUAACUGGUAUGUAUAAUGAGGCAGAAGAGAACAUAAGUUCUGUUGAAAGUGACAGUAAAACUUCAGUUUCAUUACCAGAAGAUAUCCCAACAGAGUGUAAUCAUAUUGGCUUGAGAGAGAGUUUAGUGUUUGGAGAACAUAUAAGCACAGACCAGCAGUCAGCAUCAUUAUCUUCCUCAUCUUCUUUUGCUUCCCAUCUUGACUUCCAGGCGCAAGCAUUUGAAUCACCAAGACUUACAGCCAAUACAAGUGAGUCCGAGUAUUCCGAGUCCUGCAGUCUCUUGCCGUAUUCAGAUACAAUUAAAAUUCCCACACCCAGUGCAUCCGGGUUCCUUCUUGCCAACCAAGUGGGCCAUGAGUCUAUGCUUGCAUCUAUGGAAAGACUUACUAGUCCUAGAAUGCCUGAUUUAUCUCCUGGUGCUGGAGAAUCCCUUCCUGAUGGUGAUUCCCGUGAAGCCUUGUCAGUUGCCACAGCGACUCUGUCCACUUUACUACUCAGUACCCCUAAUAUCUCUCCUGUUUGUGAUGUGUCACACAAUGCUGAAGAAGAUUCAAGUAUCCAAUCGCCUUUAGAUUCUGGAGUUGGCACUGUUGUGAGUUGUAGUGAUACUGGGAGUUUUUCUGACAGAUCACCUGAUGCAGCCUCGGCUCCUGCCUUGGUAUCAAGUGGGAUGAAACCAACUGAUAAUUCGUCUACAUCUCAUAUUAGUACUCAGACUUGCUGUGAUAUUUCUGACAAUCCUCAACAGCAAUGGCAAGUCGAAACAAUUCCGUGCAGCUGUACUCUGAGUGAUAGACUUGCAACAUCCGAUAACUUCAGCAGGUGCCUAAAUGAGUUGCAUUAUUGUGCUGAUUCUUGUAGUAGGAAUUGUGUGAAAACAGGUGGUGGGUCAUGUCAAAAUACUGAAGUGGACAGGUGUAAUACGACUGUAGUUAGAACACAUAAUAAUGGUAUCUGUGAUAAUGCAUUAGGUGACAGUGGUGAGAAUGUUUUGACUUGUAAUGAUUGCCUGUUAUCUGUAGAAGCAGAAGAUCUUGACAGACAGACUCUAAUGUCAUCUGAUGUUGAAACUUUUAAAGUUUUAAGUGAUAGAGGUGAAGGAUUGACAAAUCUUACAUCUUGUGGUGCAAACAAGAAUGAAAGAGUUAUGUGUGACAGAACCACCACUGCAGAUUUUAGUCAGGAUACCAGUAGCUUAUGGAACGGUAGACAGACGAGUGUUCUUUUAUCUCAUAACGCAGAUGACCUCAGUUACAGUGAAGUUAACGUAAGUCAUGUGACAUUGUAUAAUGCUGAUGUACCUCAGGAUUUCGAAGAAAAUAAUGUUGAUGCUAAUGGAGGUGAGAUUUUUGAGAGGACAUUCAGUCACUGUAAUGAUGUACCUGAAGCAGCCCUCCAGUUGAAUGGGUCAUAUAAGGACACUGUUAUGUCAUGUGGGGACCAUAAGCAAAACAAAAGUUUGCCUCGUAUUGUGGUGAAGACGGAAGAAGACCAAGGGAAAAGUGAAGGGGGAAAGUGGUUUGGUGUGGAAAAUGGGGAUGGGCAGUGUAGUUUGUGCAGCAGCAACAAUGCCGAGGGAGCUCAGAGUCAAAUGUCAGAUUUUCGUCUGAACUGUGCAGAUAGCUGGAAGCAUCUUAUGGUGAAACAACAGAAUGAAGUUCUGAGCUCAAGCUUAGGAUGCUCGGCACAAAUAACUAGUCAUUUGGAACAAAAAAUAGCUGAAAAUGGGAGAGUCAGGGGAAGCAGAAAAGUUUUUCUUCACACCAAUUCCUCAAGAAAUGUAGCAUCUUCCUUCUCCACUCCAAGUGACACAAAUUAUGAAGCAGGUGGUUCAACAUUAGCAAUAGUUCCUAGUCAGAAUGGAAGGAGUCUCGAUGUGCCACUGGCAAGCAGCUUUUCUUCCACAAGUUCCAGUUGCCAGAGCUCAGUCACAGUAAGUUCUGACAGUUGCAGUAUGAGCAGUGAUACAUCAUCUUUCAAUUCAGAAUGCCAGGAUGAUGAGGAAAUUGCAUUGGCAAUGCAGGCAGCUGAGAUUGCUAAUCGAAAUGAAGCCCGUGCAAAAUUCAGGUCGAGUGAGGAUUUGGUUCAUCGCUUAUUUGUGUGCAUUGCGGGUGUGGCCGACCAGUUGCAGACAAACUUUGCAGGCGAUCUUCGACACAUUCUGAAGUGCGUGUUUCUCAUGAGUGCAUCAAGCAGCAUUAGCACAGAAGAGCAAGAUUUGGAGGAAAGUGCAGUGACUACUGUAUCAGUUGAGCCAGAAUCAUCGUCCCCAUCAGGAGAUAAUGAUUUCUCUCGCCCUGUGGAAAGUGCGGAAGAAGCGCUCUCAACAGGAUGGGAGACUCCAGCAAGUCCAGUGGAAGUGGAAUCCCCACCACCAUGGAUUCCAGACGACAUGGCUCCACGCUGCAUGUCUUGUGAAGCUGUGUUUACUGUUGUUAGGAGGCGCCAUCACUGUAGAAACUGCGGAAAAGUUUUCUGUGCACGGUGUAGUUCCAAUUCCGUCCCACUGCCUCGAUAUGGCCACGUAAAACCUGUACGUGUGUGUAACCGCUGCUUCUUGUACCAAGUUACUCCAUUUACACUGGAAGAAUUGGCCACAAGAUCAUAGUUUCUAUUACAUUUUUUCUUAUAUUUCUGUUUCUGCCUGUUUUCCUGUACAGUUCUGUGUAUGUCCUCCCUGACAUUGUCUGCACCAUGAGGACAUCAGCUGGUACUGAAUCAUUCUACUCCAAGGAACUGUUUCUUUAAUUAAAAAUGAAGCAUGGGUUUUGGUAUUGAAAACACUGUGAAUUUAAUAAUUAUUGAUCAUAUUCACAAAAUUCUGUUAGGCAUUACUUAUGAGUAAUCUGGAUUUGUAAAUUUGAUUGUGGUAUUUUGUGUUAACUUUAAGUGAUUGUUAAUGCUUUAUAGCAAUGUAACUGGAGCUAUUUUAUAACAAAGAUCUGAGCUUUCUAGUAUGUUUAUUGUGUGGUGGUCACUUUAUGGAGUAGUAGUGUUUUUAGUCAUUUGCUGUCUCUUUGAGUUAAGACCCUAAUUUAUAUAUGUGUUUGAAAACUGAGUGUUCAAAAAAAUGUUUGAACCUAAUAAGAAUGAAGUACUCUUUCCAGUCACAUAAUUUAUGCACUCCUUUAAUCAUAUAUUUGUGUUUGAAAGUUGUGUGUAAAAUAUGUGGAUAUUGUAUUACGUUUUAUAUUCUCACAGUGGUGACUGAGAGGUGAUGCCUUGUACUUGGGUAAAAGGUUACCAACAUUUUUUAAGAAUGUAUGCCUCCAUCAUCAGAGUGAAAAGAGUAAUUCAAGCAAGCAGGAAGCAGCAAGUGGAGGUCUGCUCACUUUAUGCUUGUUGCUUUUUGAGCUUACUCUUCAAUCCUGAAGAUGGAGGCAGUAUAUUCUUCUGACAUGCUGGUUAACUUCUUCCAGACCACACAGCAUUAUAUCCCAGAAGAUAGCAGUCUUCAUGCAAAUACUACUUUUCAGAGUAUAAUUUUACAUGUUAAAUUGUUAGAGAAAUUGGUUGCAUAAUACGAGGGUCAUACUGAAAGUCAUGAGCAACAAUUUUUUGUAAAGUAACAUGCUUUAUUAUUGACAAACCAAAUAC